UCCCUGGUGGCUCAGACGGUAAAGUGUCUGCCUACAAUGCAGGAGACCUGGGUUCGAUCCCUGGGUUGGGAA
This 72-nucleotide transfer RNA is filed under the name Capra hircus (goat). It matches the Rfam family "tRNA". Rfam says of the family: Transfer RNA (tRNA) molecules are approximately 80 nucleotides in length. Their secondary structure includes four short double-helical elements and three loops (D, anti-codon, and T loops). Further hydrogen bonds mediate the characteristic L-shaped molecular structure. tRNAs have two regions of fundamental functional importance: the anti-codon, which is responsible for specific mRNA codon recognition, and the 3' end, to which the tRNAs corresponding amino acid is attached (by aminoacyl-tRNA synthetases). tRNAs cope with the degeneracy of the genetic code in two manners: having more than one tRNA (with a specific anti-codon) for a particular amino acid; and 'wobble' base-pairing, i.e. permitting non-standard base-pairing at the 3rd anti-codon position. The record is from Rfam by way of RNAcentral. Lineage: Eukaryota; Metazoa; Chordata; Mammalia; Artiodactyla; Bovidae. RNAcentral also lists the same sequence under 2 other names.